Molecule: long non-coding RNA, 11441 nt
Filed under: Eucalyptus grandis
Lineage: Eukaryota; Viridiplantae; Streptophyta; Magnoliopsida; Myrtales; Myrtaceae
Description: long non-coding RNA (EGRA_LNC005424)
Source: RNAcentral
AAAAAAGAAUAUUAUUAAGAAUCAAAUUAAGACUUAGCUCAAAUUCUGUGGAAAAAUUUUCAACCCAAAAAUUUAAGUAUUUAGACGGAGGGAGACUGCAUGCAUAUAAGAACAAACUUGUAAACAAGUGAUGUAAAUUUUUUAGACAACUCACGUCAGUUACCUCAACUCAAGAACAUAAACCACAUUAAACUUAAAUUUAACCAAAGUGGUACCAGGAAACUACAUUGGCAAGCCCAAUCACAACCCAGCCAAAUCUCCUUGGCACAUAACAGGCAAUGAUGAAGGGAGACAGCAUGUUCAUGAUCCUCCUAAACCUUAAUAGUCAAUGGAAACAAACAAAACAAUAAACACCUGAUCCAAGGAGUUGAAAUUAUCUCCAAAGUGCGUCGAUCGAUGCUCAUGUCCAUAUUUUGACUCCAUUUAGCUUUCUGCAAAAGAAGGUGGUUGAUGCAAAUAAUCAUAAUGAGGGUCAUAUAAGUUGAUUCAUUAUUGCCCAUUUCCAGAAUGACAGAUUUUCCUAUGAAAAGGUAUCUAUAUCUAUGUUUUGCUCAGACUAUCUUAUGAGGUAGAUGGUGGCUUUCUCACAGGAACAAACAAGGACCAAUGAACUACUUUAGAAGUCAACAAUAGUAAAACAUAAUUCUUACAUAAUCUGCUACAUUUCAAGCACACAAAUUACAGCAUGGUCAUUGAAAUUCUUUAUCCAAUAUCUCGGACCUGGAAGUACUUUUUCCCAUAGAAAGAACGCAAGACGCCAUGUUUCUCAAUAACGAUAAAGAAUUAGAAACUAAAAGUUAUUUAUAACCAACAGUUUGAGGGAGACUGCUGAUUCACUUCAAGAUGGCCCGCUUCCUUCAAUCAUCUAUUCCCUCAAAUAGAUCAUAAAUCGUUCAAAAUCUCCCGAUAAAACAUUGCCAUUAUAUAUAACUUGAAACUGAAAAACACAGGUCAGCAAAAAUCCAACCCCCUACAAAAUUUACAGAAUCCAAAUAUGUUAUCGAAGCAAACCAACAAGUCAAUUAGCCAAGCACAAUCACAACAGUUCGACCCACAUGAUUUCCAAGGUUCACAUUAUGGGUCCGGAACCAAGUUCAAGUUCAAGUUCAAGAUCGACCCUUUGGAAAAAGUGAAGAACUUUCCCACAUGUAGUGGCUCAGUUCACUCUAUCUUCAAAAGGGUCUCGAAGAAAGAUCCCGCAGACGCACUGUAAUCAGGUAUUCACCACAGUAAAAUCGAAAAAUUCAAGAAACCGCGUGGCGGAAAGCGGUGACAACGCCAUCAUCAAGAAUUGACAUGGGGAAAGAGAGAGAAAGAUGUACCCGUUCAUAAGUUGGAGGUAAGCCCAAAGAUUUGCAAGCUAUUCAAGAGCCUCCUUCUCUCGAUCGAAGGUCUCCGGAAGACGCAGAGAGAGUGGCCCUCUUGUCGCUUGACCGAUUUCUUCUGAGUCUUCCUGUUUCUUUCUUUCUUUCUUUCUUUUCGGUUUACUGCUUUCUGAAAAUUACUUCUGGCUUUAGCUGGCUCUGCCCCCACGUUCUCCACGUGUCUACUUGCAAUUAUAGGGACCAUCUGUAAUAAAACCUAGUUACUCUAAUUAGGUGCCAAGAUUUACAAAUUCAUCCUUGAUGAGAUUAUAAAAUUUAGGGAAAAAGCCAUGAAAAACCCUGAACUUUACUCAAAGUGACACAUUUACCCCAAACUUUUGUUUGUGACGUAAAAAUCCAAAACUUUGCCAACCAUGACACAUUUACUCCAAACUUUUUUUUGUGAAACAAAAAUCCUGAACUUUCAUUACGUGAUACAUUUACCCAAAAAUUAGAUGGCAUUUUGGUCUUUUCAUUUUUAAAUUUUUUUUUCUUCUCUCUUCCCUCCGCCGGCUCCGCCAUGGCCGGCGGAGGGAAGAAGAAGAAGAAAAAAAAAGGAAAAAACAGAAUAAAAAGACAAAAAUGCCCUUGAUGGGGUAAAUGUGUCACAAUUUAGAAAGUUUGGGAUUUUUCACGUCAUAAAAAAAAAAGUUUUGGGUAAAUGUGUCACUUUAGGCAAAGUUCAGGGUUUUCAUAGCUUUUUCCCUAAAAUUUACUUACUGUGACUCAAUUAUUGACUUAAAGUAUCCAAUCAAAGGCCACUUCGAUAGAAUCCAGAAAUAGAUGCUGAAAAUUUAAGUAUUGAAAUUUAAACACUGAUAAUCUAGAAUCUUAAUAAUCAAAUAAAAGGUUAUUUAGGGUAUGUCUGUUUUUUUUAAAGAUAUUCCUCCGAAAAUAAUCAUUUGUAUUUUGUGAAAUAAUACUUGUUGUUGAUUAAAAUAUUUGUUAUUCAUAUAUUCUUAUAAACAACGGAAGUCAUCAUUCUAAAAAAAUAUAUUUUUUAAGUUAUUUAUAGAAUAGAGCAUUAAUAACAACUGAAUAUUGAAUAUUCAUUGACAGGGGCUCAAUAAUUGACAAGAUCUUGAUUCCUAUCUGGAUCAAGCUUCUUCUCUAUUGUGUCUGAUUAAGGUAUCUACACAGAAAGGGGCCCAAUUUGUCCUUUCGAUUAUUCCCUUUCCUCUUUGUCUUUUCCAUUUUUGUGUUUUGCUUUUUCAGCUAACUAGAUGCACUUCCUCAGCUGGUAGCCUUCUACAUAAAGAACUAUUUAAUAACCAAUUAAGUGUUCAAAAUAAAUGAAAAUUUGAUGAUUGAGCAUCUUAUAGACUUUAAAGAUUCAAUUAAGGCCCGCUUGAUAAGAUUGAAAUAAUUUAAGGACUUAUUAUAAAUGUUGAUAAUCUUAAGGGUUGAAGAUGGAAAAAUAAAAAUCAAAUAUUGAAUUUGGAUUAAUAUUAUUAUCAAAAAUAGCAUUGUCGGAUCGCCAAGGUCGACCUUUGUCCUUGCUCGACAAGUGGUUCUUGCAGUCGAGCUCCCUUGUGGAAGGGUUGUCACUCAACAAAUAAUGGAUAACAGGCUCAUCUUCCCUAGGCGUUCACUUUGACGGCAAAGUUUGCCAUCUUGAUGUAUGCUCUUCACCACCUGUAGGUAAGUGAAUUAUUAUUAGGUUUUAAACAUGUAACAAUGUCAUCGCAACAUUUUUAAUUCCCAUUUGGCUGCCUUUCUUAUUGAAUGAAUUAUGUAUUCACUUCCUCAUUUGCAAAUCAUGUGACUUUCUGACUUAACUAGAUCAAAGCUAGUUACAAUCAUCAUAAGUGGUUAAUUUAUUGAGUACUAAACAAGAUUAAUCCCCCAUAUUUAAUUAGGCCCUCCGGCAAAAUUUCAUUUAGUAUGGUCCCCGUAUGAUAAAACCUAGCAAGUUUGUCAUUUGUAAGGCCAUGUCAUAGUAGAAAAGCCCUAUGAUUUAUUAAACUUUGGUUAUACGAAGUUUAGAGACCAUAUUAUAUUUUUCUUGGGCUACCUAGAUAUUAGCCACUUAAAAAAGAAUCAUCUUUUACAAUGUUCAUUAAAUGCAACAUCUCUUGCGGUCUAGCAAUGGAGAACACCUUGCGAGUGUGCAUGCUGAUAUACAAUCAAGGACCAGACUUGGUUUCUAUCACAAAAAAUUAUUCAUAUUUCGGGUCCUAAAAAGCACAAGUGACAAGUUUGAUUCUCGCUUCACGGACCUUUCAAGGCCAUGACACAAUUGACCAGUUUGUUUGCCAACCAUCCGCUGCAAACAUGAAAUCUGAUUUAGAACAUCACCCGUUUCCCAUGAAGAAGUGAGUAUCCAUUUCCAAACUACUGGAGUUUGGUUGCAAUUUAAAGUGAAACGCAAAUGGGGUCAUUGCAGUUUACACAAGAACAAAACAGUUGAUAAAUGAUACCGCAAGGUACCGUUUGUGGCUUCACAAUCAAUGCUCAAAUGCGCUCUAGCCACUUGAAAGAUUCAUGAUACUGACUCUUUCUUCUUUAUGCGAGCAGGAGCUCACGUGCUGGGGGACCAAAGGCCCCCUUGACCCUCUAGGAUAACAUCUACAUUCUAAUCCCGGUGUCAUUCAUGCCAAUGAACUCAUCUGAGAUUGUAAGAUUGUAAGCUGAUGCAUUGAAAAAUUGUGUCGUAAUGUGGGUAAGGGUCGUGAUAAAAAUGAAGAAUCCUGGACUCGGUAAGUUUUGCUGUCGGUAUAUAGAUAAUAAAUAGAUGAAGCCACGAGGUUGGAGCAAGAAAGUAUGAUGAAUGAUGUGAGGGGCUGGUGAAGGAUCUAUCUCAAAAACCAUACAUGUAUACUAGAAAAACGUAACGUAUUGUUUGAAUGGUAUAUAUCAGCAUCGUAUAAUAUAACACAAAAAAGGUGACGAAAGGUGAGAUUUAAGUAUCAUAUCUACCAGAACUUGAUUCUGAUUUAGUUUUGAUUGAAUCUCACAAAUCAUGGGAUUGUAGUUGUUAACCCACAAAUCAUAGGAUUGUAGCUUUCCUCCUAUUUAGGCUUUGUUUCCUUUUUGUUUGCUAGGAUUUCUCUAUGCAUUUGCCUACAAAUAUGACACUGUAAAGCUAAAGAAUAUAUGAAUGAUAAUAAGAAUUUCUCUCCAUCUAAAUUUCCACAUGGUAUCAAGGCUGGAGGUUCUGAGUUCAAAUCUUACUUAAUUCAAUUUGCCUCCCCAAUUAAAUUUUCACGUUUAGUAUUAAGCAAAAAGGCCAAGCUAAGCAUGAGGAGAGGAGUGUUAGAAUAUUAAGUUUAAGCUUUUAAAACAGUUGGCCGUAGUCCCAAAAAAUCUCACACUCCCUUCCAUUGCCAACAAAUUGCGGUUAGCUACUUAAAUGUACUCAGAGAUCUCCAUGUUGAUUUGGGUGGACAAGCCAAAUCCUCAAAGAACCAAGAUGAGGGAAAAUUCAAAGUUGUUCCUGGUCUCUAGACAGAAGUAAGGAGAAAGAAAUUUCUUACUCAGAGAGAUGGUAGAUGGAAAGUUGCCACUGAGGUCUUAGUUACUGAUGCCUCCAACAAAAAUAUAGAACAAGGAUUUGGUUGCAUUCAUUACGGGUUAUUGACAAGAAAAGAUAUCACUCAUCUUGUUCAAAGGGUUAACGAAAUGGCCUGUUAGGGGUUUCUGACAGAGUUCUGCUUACCUGUAGCCUCCUCGACUUCAUUUAUGAGUACAACAUACCACUUGCCUACUCUGAUUCCCAGUUGUAGGCCAUGAAAUUGCCACGUGUAUGGUGUUAUUCUUAUCCUCCCAGCUUUUCUAUAAUAUAUGUUUGCAUGUAUCACUAUGGGGUGUAAAGUUAGUAUGCCUCCAUUCACGUACGUAACAUGAAAAGGAUUAGCAACUGGAGUUUUGUAUUGAGACAAGGAGAGACUGGAAAUGUCAAUGUGAGCUUGUCAUGGGCACAUUUGUAGAGUGAACACUGCUCUAGAUGCCAGUUAAGUCAGCUGCGGAGAUUUUUGAAACAAUUCUGAACAUAUCUAUUGUGGUCGACGAGAGGGGAUACACUUCUAUUGCUAGUAUAACUUCUUUUGCGCAAUCUAAUUUUAUCAGUGUAUGUUGCUGGUAUAGCUUCUUUUGCGCAAUCUAAUUUAUCAGUGUCUGUUGCUGGUAUAGCUUCUUUUGUGCAAUCUAAUUUUAUCGGAUGGUGAAUUUGACAAUAAAGGUGAUACCAAUCUUAAAGAUGGUUAGUAAAUGUCCAAAAGAUUCUAAGAAAAUUCAUGGGAAAAAUGUCCUUGCUUAUCAAAUUCUGUUCUUUUUCCUCCGUUGACUUUUAUCCCCUUCGGAUCCAGCAUUUUAGUUUAUCAAUUUUUGUUAGGGUAGAGAGAUGACUCUUAAGUCUCGUCACCUAACGGUUUUUUAGAACUAAAGCACUGUCUGAAAUUAAAUCCGGAAGGAUCUAUGCUUAAAGGGGGAAAAGGCAUUGUGAUUUUCGAGGGAUUGUAGACCCUCCCCACUUUGUAAAUGGCUUUGCAUUCAAGCUCUUCUCCUCAGAUUGGUAUGGCUAUGAAGAAAACCAUAGGAAAUGACAAUAUAGGAUAGGAUCAAAUACGAAAUCUAUCCAUCAUUUGAGAAAAUACAGAAAGUUAGGGCAAAUAUACACAUCUAAUCUAUAAAAAAAAAAAGUUCAAAUCCACGGAGAAGUACAAACACAUCACAAUUUGCUUAGGAGACGCAAUCAAUCAGCAAACAAUUCACAUUCACGACUAAGUUAUCCAUUUUGUAACUUAAAAUCAUCUGCUCAUCUUCCCUUCUGCUGCUAAUACUCUCUUCGAUGGUUACCGCGAGCAAUGGCACAAGUCGAUGAUUUGACAAUCCAAUGCCAAUGCCGGGACUUUCACUAUUGCUCUUGCGAGCAUCGAAGCCCAUGUCACUUAAGUAUACAGUCUCAAACGGGUUGUGAUGGGCUGUCGGCACAAAGCUCUCCACUUUGUAAAUGGCUUUGCAUGUCUGGAAAGAAAUAAGGAGAUGACAUACGUAAGCUUACAUUAUCCAUAGCAAUACAGAUAUUGUCUCUCUCUAUCUCUCUAUCAUGUGAAGGAAUAAUUACUUCCACAUUUAAUUGUAGUUCGUACAUCUUUUCAAGUCUAGUUAGCCUUCGAUGAGAACAUCUCCUGCCCCAUAGAUGCUACUACUGUGGUAUUCUUUCCCGUUUAGGAUGAGGAUAGUCCCACCAUUUGUCAAAGAUAAUUUUGCGGGCAUACUCGUGAUUAGUUAAGUACGUGAGAUUUCUGGGGCAUGAUAAACAGCAAUAUUGUAUAAUAAGCUCAUUGAUUUGCUGAGCCACAGCCAACUUCGACAAAACCAGUGGAUUGAGAGCCGGAAGUUUCUUUGGAAAAUAUAUAGAAGUAACUAACUUUGCAGUAAUACUGGGUACAACCAAUUUUAUGCUUUUAGCUUUCAUUAUCAAGUAAAAUUCUACUCUAUUAGAUUCUAGCCUGAAAGUGAAAGCAAGUUCAGGUGGGAAAUGGUUAUAACAGGUGGAAACGUUAUACUCCACGAAUUGGAGGCCAUAUAAAGAAUGAUGCUAAUUGCUGAAUAGAGAAUGACUCACCAGAUGGGCCACAUCCAAAGGCCAUGUUCUUUGGAUUUGUAAGGCAAAUGGGGCAAACCUUGAAGAACACAAGCAGCUAAGUGCGGAUUUACAUUUAAUGAAGAACGUGAAGUUUCACAAAAUAAAAAAUAAAUAAAAAAUAAAUAAAAAGGUGAUUAAAUGACACUUAUUUUCCCGAAGCUGUUUCCUGAGUUUGUGGAGAACUAUCUGGGAUUGACUUAUCCAAGCUGGUAUGACCAGUGACUCCAGGUGGGGGUGGAAGUGGCCUUAUACGAGGACCAGUCACUGCCUCCCUGCAGUAUAAGCAGAAUUUACAUUAUAGCAGGCCUCAAUGCAAUGUAGAAACAAACAGCUACAGUUCCCAAUCUUACUUGACGUGCGAAAUGCUUUGAGUGGCUCUAUACUGAAGGGGAAUUUCCAUGAGAGCAGCAAGAGCAAAGGCAGUCUCUUUCUUUGAAGUAUCUGUGUUCUCAGACAUGAUUUUUGUGAAGUUGACAAACUGCGUAGUGGAACAAUGAAUAAACAAGAAGGUUAAAAGCAAAAAGAAAAAGAAAAAAAAUGUGGUGGAAUUUAUUGAUUCUAAAAUAACAUUUUAAACUUAAAAUGUGUACUCGGGGCACUAUUUACUACUGUCAGAGAGGAAUAAAUCAGACCAUAUUAUAAAAAAGUUCAAAGAAAGGGGACUUCACAAUAAAAAGUGGCUGGAGAUCCAGAAUUACUCCAUACCAAACCAAAAGCCCUAAUCCAGUCUAAACAUUAUUCAACAGCACAGUAAUCGGCAGUAACUACGCCAUACAUGUCUGAAUAGAAUUUGUACUCAAUAAACACCCCUCAAUACAAACUACUGGAAUAUACAUUUAACAUACUUUAUUUAUUUUUUCUGAAACUUCUUAUUUUGAAUUAUGCAGUUCUCUCGCUAGUCUUAUUAUGUGAACCCCGGCAUUAUUGAUGCAACUAUACUUAUAAAAAGAACUUGGAUAAUUGCAAAAGGAAUCAUCAAUUGUGCUCUCCGUAUCAAACACCCUCCUCACAUUUCAAGACUUACAUUUUGCAUCUCCCCAACCUGAAAAAAAAACUGACUUGCCCUCAUGCAUGCACAUUGCACGAUCCACACCCAAAAAUUAAAACAAAGGUCGUGGAUGGGGUAAUUUGGGAAUGAAAAUGGCCUAAUUUGGAACUUAGCAGAUUAUGUAGCAGAGGAAGAUGCAAUUUAAAACCAAUGGAAAGAAGUCAGGCUGGUAAUCAUAGGUUUUAAAACGUGAGGACGGUACUUGACAGGAGCAAAGUUCAGGAUGGUAUCAGUACUUUUCCCCAAAGAGAUCUUUCAGUACCUGAAAGUUAUCAAAUGCACGAUGAGGGAUAUUAUCAUCAAAUUGCUUCAUUGCAUCCCAUGGUCCAUCUCCCACACCAACAAAUAUGAUGGAGAGAGGAUAUUGGCUGCUCUACCAAAAAGAAACAAACGAAAAGUCAAGGAACGUGGUAAUUGCAAAGUUGGAAUAUGUGGCCUUUCUUCACCAAGCAGGACAGCAACAAAAACAUGCAAUUCCAAAAUUACCUAGCUGCUACUAUGGAGUUUAUAGUUGCCUGUUCUUGUGGGCUGAAUCUCCCAGGAGGUAAUUCAGGACUUCUAGUAACCUAUGAACCAUGGUGAUGGAACAAUAAGCAUGUGGAAAGAACUUGGUGAUAAAGCAAUAAUAAGGAUGUGAUACGCAAAGUAGUGAGAACCUGUCCAUCUGCUAUAAUGACAAGGACAUGAUAUAGCCCGUUGCUCCUAGCCACAAUGUCGAUAGCGGCCUCAAUUAUCGGCGCAAAUGAUGUGGGCCCUAUAAACAACGGUAACAGAAAGCGUUAAAAACUACUGCAUGGAAGUUUCUAUUAUAUGGACCUUCGACUGCAUGAGACAGCCUUAAAGGAUCCAUCAUAAACUCCUGAGGACAAAUUUCCUGUAGGAGACCAACAAAAGAAACAUGAGACAAUAUGAGGACAAUAAACCGUCCAAAAUGGGGAAAAGAAAAACAUAAAGGAUAAGUUCAUUCAUGGGAAAAUAUCGGUUAACAAAAUGGAAGACUAUCAUGGCAAAGUCAUGGCUCUGGAAGGAACUGGCAGUAAGUUGAGUGAAACGGCUAUUUUAUGACCUAAGUUUAAAAUCUAUUCAAAAUAAUAACUUGGUUUACAAGUUGGGAAAGUUUGGCAUGGACGUUUCAAUCUUUAUUUUUUAACCAUGUAGGACCACCUAAACCUCUUGCUCUCCUCUUGGAUUAUUUAUAAUGCUAUGAUUUGGGUCACAUUGACAACAAUACAUGCUAUGAUUUGAUGUCCAUCAAUCCUGCCAUUUAAAGUCUAAUGAAAAUGAAAAGAAAAAUACUAUUGAUUUAGACAAGAUGUUUUCUUAUUCUUCACAAUGAUUGACAACGCUGUACUUUGCCCAAACUUGCAGAUUUGUUUAUUUCAGUUUUAAAAGAAGAUGAAUAGACUGCAAAAUAUUUUGGCCUAAAGUAGGAACCAUCACAUAAGAACGAUCAGUAAAGCAGGAGAAAAACCUGACAACUUUAAGUGUGGGACGAUCUCUCUGUAACGUGCAAGUGCUUCCUCAAAACCAUGACAAUAACGAUGAUCAGAAUAAAAGCUGAAGACAGAUUGAUCAUGUGUUGAUGCUGCAAAAAGCAAUGUGAUGAGAUGAAAGCUUCAAAGGCGAUGAUAAGAAUUCCUACCAAAGCUACAAAUUACCGACAGCACUGACCAUCGCCAAAUCCAAAACAAGGUAUGAGUUCAUCUUCGUCAAGAGGGGACAAUGUUCUGCCGAUUAUAGAAAUUGCUUGCUCAUAUGGAUUAGGUGUGUCACCAAUGGCAUGAAGACUUUUUCUCCCGAAGGAAUAUCUACCUACAAUACGAAAUUCACAUUAAUUUUCCAAUAUAUAGUUUCAUAAAACCUGAAUGCUUUCUUUGUCCAUUGGAAAUAGAAUCACCUGACCACUCGUUGCUCUUUGUGAAAUCAAUACCGAGGAUUAAAUUUGAUGAUUCAAGGCCAGCUUCCCUCAGUGCAGUUGCGACCUAAAAUAUGAGCAUCAAAAAUCCCAUUACUGUUUCAUUUUACAUCUUUACAAUCAAAACCGCCAAAGUAUGACCACCACAGUUUACAUUCCCAUCUAAUUUCACGGCUUUACAAUCAAAACUGCCAAUCAUUAAACAGCGGGUAGAAUAGACAAGAACCAGAGAUAAAAAAGAAUAUUACUAAGGAUCAAAUAAAGACUUAGAUCAAAUUCUGUGGAAGAAUUUUCAACCCAAAAAUUUAAGUACUUAGACAGAGGGAGACUGCAAGCAUAUAAGAACAAACUUGUAAACAAGUGAUGCAAAUUACUUCGACAACUCAUGUUAGUUACCUCAACUCAAGUACAUAAACCGCAUUAAACUUAAAUUUAACCAAAGUGGUACCAGGAAACUACAUUGGCAGACCCAAUCACAAACAGCCAAAUCUCCUUAGCACAUAAAAGGCAAUGAUGAAGGGAGACAGCGUGUUCAUGCUCCUCCUAAACCUUAAUAGUUAAUGGAAACAAACAAAGCAAUAAACACCUGAUCCAAGGAGCUGAAAUUAUCUCCAAAGUGCGUCGAUCGAUGCUCAUGUCCAUAUUUUGAGUCCAUUUAUCUUUCUGCAAAAGAAGGUGGAUGAUGCAAAUAAUCAUCAUGAGGAUCAUAUAAGUUGAUUCAUUAUUGCCCAUUUCCAGAAUGACAGAUUUUCCUAUGAAAAGGUAUCUAUAUUUAUGUUUUACUCAGACCAUCUUAUGAUGUAGAUGGUGGCUUUCUCGCAGGAAUAAACAAAGACCAAUGAACUACUUUAAAAGUCAACAAUAGUAAAUCAUAAUUCUUGCAUAAUCUGCUACAUGUUGAGCAAGCAAAUUACAGCAUGGUCAUUGAAAUUCUUAAUCCGAUAUCUUGGAUCCGUAAGCAUUUCUUUCCCAUAGAAAGAACGCAAGAUGCCAUCUUUCUCAAUAACGAUAAAUAAUUAGCAAACAAAAGUCAUUUGUAACCAACGGUUUAGGGGAGACUGCAGAUUCACUUCAAGAUGGCUCGCUUCCUUCAAUCAUCUAUUCCCUCAAAAUGAUCAUAAAUCGUUCAAAAUCUCCCUCUAAAAUAUCACAUUCCAUGCAACUUGAAACUGAAAAACCCGGGUCAGCAAAAUCCAACCCCCUACAACAUUUACAGAAUCCAAAUCUGUUGUACCCAAUAAGUCCUUAGUCGAAGCAAACCAACCAGUCAACUAGCCGAGCACAAUCACAACAGUUCACCCACAUGAUUUCCAAGGUUCACAUUAUGGGUCCAGAACCAAGUUCAGGUUCAAGAUCGACCCUUAGGAAAAAGUGAAGAACUUUCCCACAUGUAGUGGCUCAGUUCAAUCUAUCUUCAAAAGGGUCUUGAAGAAAGAUCCCGCAGACGCACUGUAAUCAAGAAUUCACCUCAGUAAAAUCGAAAAAUCAAGAAACCGCGUGACGGAAAGCGGUGACAACGCCAUC